AAACGCUUGAAGUCAGUCGCACCGUUCAGGAUUCAGCCUUGCUUCUGCUCGGUUUACUUCCUGUUGGGUGGGUCAACAUCAGUUUUGGUCGGAGGAGAAAGGCUUGGGGAAGGUGGCAGCAUUCGUGCUGUGUUAUAGCCCCUUGUUCGCAUAC
Molecule: ribosomal RNA, 154 nt
Filed under: Sebacina sp.
Lineage: Eukaryota; Fungi; Basidiomycota; Agaricomycetes; Sebacinales; Sebacinaceae
Description: partial large subunit ribosomal RNA
Source: RNAcentral